This 199-nucleotide ribosomal RNA is filed under the name Aeromonas salmonicida. Its description in RNAcentral is "partial 16S ribosomal RNA". It matches the Rfam family "Bacterial small subunit ribosomal RNA", at positions 1 to 191 of the family's 1533-position model. Lineage: Bacteria; Pseudomonadati; Pseudomonadota; Gammaproteobacteria; Aeromonadales; Aeromonadaceae. The record is from RNAcentral.
AAAUUGAAGAGUUUGAUCAUGGCUCAGAUUGAACGCUGGCGGCAGGCCUAACACAUGCAAGUCGAGCGGCAGCGGGAAAGUAGCUUGCUACUUUUGCCGGCGAGCGGCGGACGGGUGAGUAAUGCCUGGGGAUCUGCCCAGUCGAGGGGGAUAACAGUUGGAAACGACUGCUAAUACCGCAUACGCCCUACGGGGGAAA